AGCUGCUUUGGGGUUUGGGUUUUUUGUUGGUAUAGGAAAGUCAUCUCUGCUUCUCUGUCAGGGCACAAACUGCCACUGCACAGUGGAGCUUAAGUAAUGGGCUCUGGGAGAGCAUUUACAGAUGUGAAAGAAGCAGGUGGAGCCUCAUGUUUCCUUUUUCUCCAGGCUGAACUCCUGUUAGCCACAGGAGGGACCCCACAGCUGCGGCAGCCCAAGCUAUUCUCGGCUUCGCUGCGUGACUUCCUGAGCUGCUGCCUGCAGGCAAACGAGGAGUGGCGCUGGUCUGCCAAGGAGCUCCUGCAGCAUCAAUUUAUAACAUCAGUCAAGUCUGUGUCCAGCCUGGUGCCACUGAUUAUUUCAGUGAAGAAGAGGAAGGAGGGGGAAGGACUGUGACAAUCACGUCAGGACCAUUUAUUCCAAAAGCAGCUUGGAUUCGGAUUGUAGAGUAGUAUUCUGAAUAAAUAAAGUUUCUGAAACCCCAA
Long non-coding RNA from Corvus hawaiiensis (hawaiian crow), 482 nucleotides. RefSeq lists it as uncharacterized. NCBI's taxonomy places the organism in Eukaryota, Metazoa, Chordata, Aves, Passeriformes, Corvidae. The transcript is spliced from 2 exons. The record is from RefSeq and is a predicted model, not a curated record.